UGCAAGUCGAGCGGAUGAGAGGAGCUUGCUCUUCGAUUCAGCGGCGGACGGGUGAGUAAUGCCUAGGAAUCUGCCUGGUAGUGGGGGACAACGUUUCGAAAGGAACGCUAAUACCGCAUACGUCCUACGGGAGAAAGUGGGGGAUCUUCGGACCUCACGCUAUUAGAUGAGCCUAGGUCGGAUUAGCUAGUUGGUAGGGUAAAGGCCUACCAAGGCGACGAUCCGUAACUGGUCUGAGAGGAUGAUCAGUCACACUGGAACUGAGACACGGUCCAGACUCCUACGGGAGGCAGCAGUGGGGAAUAUUGGACAAUGGGCGAAAGCCUGAUCCAGCCAUGCCGCGUGUGUGAAGAAGGCCUUCGGGUCGUAAAGCACUUUAAGUUGGGAGGAAGGGCUCAUAGCGAAUACCUGUGAGUUUUGACGUUACCAACAGAAUAAGCACCGGCUAACUUCGUGCCAGCAGCCGCGGUAAUACGAAGGGUGCAAGCGUUAAUCGGAAUUACUGGGCGUAAAGCGCGCGUAGGUGGCUUGAUAAGUUGGAUGUGAAAUCCCCGGGCUCAACCUGGGAACUGCAUCCAAAACUGUCUGG
Molecule: ribosomal RNA, 589 nt
Filed under: uncultured Pseudomonas sp.
Lineage: Bacteria; Pseudomonadati; Pseudomonadota; Gammaproteobacteria; Pseudomonadales; Pseudomonadaceae
Description: bacterial SSU rRNA
Rfam family: Bacterial small subunit ribosomal RNA
Source: RNAcentral